ACUGAAUAGAUACCCGGGUAGUCCUGGCCCUAAACGAUGAAUGCUUGGUGUGGCGGGUAUCGAUCCCUGCCGUGCCGAAAGCUAACGCAUUAAGCAUUCCGCCUGGGGAGUACGGUCGCAAAGGCUGAAACUCAAAGGAAUUGACGGGGGCCCGCACAAGCGGUGGAGCAUGUGGUUCAAUUCGACGCAACGCGAAGAACCUUACCCAGGCUUGAACAGCGAGUGACAAACUCCGAAAGGAGUCUUCCGCAAGGACACUCGUAGAGGUGCUGCAUGGCUGUCGUCAGCUCGUGUCGUGAGAUGUUGGGUUAAGUCCCGCAACGAGCGCAACCCUUGUCUUCUGUUGCCAUCAGGUUAUGCUGGGCACUCUGAAGAGACUGCCGGUGAUAAACCGGAGGAAGGUGGGGAUGACGUCAAGUCAGCAUGGCCUUUAUGUCUGGGGCUACACACGUGCUACAAUGGCAGAUACAAACCGUCGCGAGACCGCAAGGUGGAGCUAAUCGGAGAAAGUCUGU
This 515-nucleotide ribosomal RNA is filed under the name uncultured bacterium. Its description in RNAcentral is "bacterial SSU rRNA". It matches the Rfam family "Bacterial small subunit ribosomal RNA", at positions 772 to 1286 of the family's 1533-position model. The record is from RNAcentral.